This is a long non-coding RNA of Cherax quadricarinatus, 1257 nucleotides long. RefSeq lists it as uncharacterized. The record is from RefSeq and is a predicted model, not a curated record. NCBI's taxonomy places the organism in Eukaryota, Metazoa, Arthropoda, Malacostraca, Decapoda, Parastacidae.
GCAGCAGCCGCCAUCACCGAGGUCUUCCCUGGGAAGGAAUUCACAGCUGGUAUUCAAGCUUAAUGGUGCUUCAUCUAAAGAAAUAAUUUGUAUUCCUUUGGCUCCAUUUCUCUCAUUUCUAAUGGUGGCCUCUUGUUAGUCCUGUUGCAGGAAUGCACAACUGGUGUACAGCCUAAUGGUGCUUGGUCUGUUCACCCCAAAAUCUGGAGCAAAGGUUGUCAGCACCUACUCAGCUUGGGUGGUCCAAAAGAAAAAAAAACUAAUUCUCUUCCCCUCCCCUGAAUUUUUUCUUUGAGAAAAAACACUGGCUAAAUUUUAAACCUGAAUUGGAUAUAUUGAGGGGUGACUGCUUGAUUAUCUGGUGUAUUACUAUAUACACUAAACUCUCGACUACAUAUUCGAUAUCAGAGCAUCCGACUCGAUUGCUUGCUUAUGUUCCCAAGUCCUAGCAUCUAGGGUGUAGGGUUUCCCGUAGUGGUCAGUUUCAACCCCCAAGGGUCAGUAAAUGUCUAGGGACAUGGUUGCAUGGUGUAUCUGAUUUAUGUAUGUUUGGUAUUCCUGUUUUUUCUGUACUGAGUGGACUCCCUCACCUCAAACUGUUUGAGAACCAGUACAUUCUCAAUACCCAUAGUGAGAGGAGUGGUACCAAAGAAGUGAUUGUUGUGCAUUUGCUAUAAAUUUGGCAUUGUAACACCCACAAUGGCAGCUGUUAAUACCAAGAAAGUGCAGACAGUAUUCACAAUAAUACUUAAAAUCUGGAUUCGUAACUUCAUUUACAAAUGAAACAAUGCCAAUGUGCCUAUUAUGUGAAGACUGAAUUCAGUAAUGAUGCCAUGAAACCUUCAAAGAUGAAAGACCACCUUGAGAGGGUUCACUUUGAUGAGACAAAUAAAGACAUUGACUAUUUUAAGGUACAGAAAGAACAGUUUAAAAAUCGACCAAAUUUUAAGACUUUUUUUUUUUUUUUUUUUUUUUUUUUUUUUUAAGCCCCUGCCAAUAUUGAUGAUAAAUUAGGACUGAAGGCAUCAUACAAUAUCUCCCUUACCAUAGCAAAGAAAGGAAAAUCACAUAAAAUUGGUGAGGAAAUCUUAAUUCCAGCAAUUGCAGAAGUGAUUGAGUCUUGUUUUGAAGAAACUGUCAACCUAUCCUAAAGUCUGUCAUUGAGUGACAAUACAGUUCAACGACGAAUUGACGAGAUGGCCAGGGAUGUUGAAAAAACCCUUGCAGCAGAGCUUCAGCACUCCAGGUUUUCUCUCC